Molecule: ribosomal RNA, 597 nt
Filed under: Rhinecanthus aculeatus (blackbar triggerfish)
Lineage: Eukaryota; Metazoa; Chordata; Actinopteri; Tetraodontiformes; Balistidae
Description: partial large subunit ribosomal RNA
Rfam family: Bacterial large subunit ribosomal RNA
Source: RNAcentral
AAGGUCCCGCCUGCCCUGUGACUUUAGGUUUAACGGCCGCGGUAUUUUGACCGUGCGAGUGUAGCGCACUCACUUGUCUCUUAUAUGGGGACCUGUAUGAGUGGCAUAACGAGGGUUUAACUGUCUCCUUUCCCAAGUUAAUGAAAUUGAUCUCCCCGUGCAGAAGCGGGGAUAAAAACAUAAGACGAGAAGACCCUAUGGAGCUUUACGCAAUAAACAGACCGUACCAAAUUACCCCGAUAAAGGAACAAAACAUACUGAUCAAACCUGUUUUAAUGCCUUUGGUUGGGGCGACCGCGGGGAAACAAAAAACCCCCUGGUGGAACAGGACUACUCAUCCUCCAGACUAGAGCCCCCGCUCUAAUAAACACAACAUCUGACCUUUACGAUCCGGCAGAGCCGAUCAACGAACCGAGUUACCCUAUGGGAUAACAGACGCAAUCCCCUUAUAGAGCCCAUAUCCACUAGGGGGUUUACGACCUCGAUGUUGGAUCAAGAUAUCCUAAUGGUGCAGCCGCUAUUAAGGGUUCGUUUGUUCAACGAUAAGGAUCCUACGUGAUCUGAUUUCAUACCGAGAUGAUCUGAGUUCAGACCGGA